GCCCGUGCUUGUGGAGGUGCUGGGCUGGACAGAAGCUAUACUUCACAGAUGCCUUUGGACUUUCUUGCUGGAACAGCAGCUUAACCUACUUCAUCUUCUCUGAAACUGAUAGAAGACAAGCAGCUCAGGACGCUUGGAAAAAAUCCUGAAGCAGCCAGCAUGUCUGAGUGACCCUACAAAUAGCAGACCUGUGAAUGCAGCCCAGCAUGCAUAAGCAACCCCGCAAGAAUAAGCUACUGUGUGCAGUCCAGCAGAUACCCUUCCCUAGACUUGCGGAGUGGUGCUGUUUUCCAUCAGGAGCAUCCAGUGUCUGUUGCCGAGCUUGCUUCCUGGACGCUGUCGCUCUCUGCAGCUCUGUGCUGCGCUCGUGGCCGGACCGGGUGCCCCUGCAGCUCCCCCUGCCCGACUGCUCCGCUCCACGGAGGCCUCGGCAGCCCCCGGGCUCCUUUGGUCCUGGUUUGGUGGCCUAAUCCUGGUCAGGCCUUGGCUCAGGACACCUGGAAAAUGCACUGAGCUGUGAAGCUCUCACACAGGGACUCUUAGUUCAGAAAUCAUGGAAUCUGUUCAUAAGAAAUAGCCUCAAUCCCUGAGCGUGAUCACUAGACAUUAAGAGCUUUAC
Molecule: long non-coding RNA, 619 nt
Organism: Nothoprocta perdicaria
Lineage: Eukaryota; Metazoa; Chordata; Aves; Tinamiformes; Tinamidae
Exons: 4
Source: RefSeq, a predicted model, not a curated record